RNAcentral lists this ribosomal RNA (254 nucleotides) under uncultured bacterium. RNAcentral's name for it is "partial 16S ribosomal RNA". It matches the Rfam family "Bacterial small subunit ribosomal RNA", at positions 524 to 776 of the family's 1533-position model. The record is from RNAcentral.
UACGUAGGGUGCAAGCGUUGUCCGGAAUUAUUGGGCGUAAAGAGCUCGUAGGCGGUUUGUCGCGUCUGCUGUGAAAACCCGAGGCUCAACCUCGGGCCUGCAGUGGGUACGGGCAGACUAGAGUGCGGUAGGGGAGAUUGGAAUUCCUGGUGUAGCGGUGGAAUGCGCAGAUAUCAGGAGGAACACCAAUGGCGAAGGCAGAUCUCUGGGCCGUAACUGACGCUGAGGAGCGAAAGCAUGGGGAGCGAAACAGG